Long non-coding RNA from Monodelphis domestica (gray short-tailed opossum), 583 nucleotides. RefSeq lists it as uncharacterized. The record is from RefSeq and is a predicted model, not a curated record. NCBI's taxonomy places the organism in Eukaryota, Metazoa, Chordata, Mammalia, Didelphimorphia, Didelphidae.
UCAGACUUGGAAAGCUUAAGGCUGCUCAGUAACCCUCUGUAUUCUCCUCAUGUCCUUUUACACACAUGGGCCCCAACUGAAAGAUCCAUCUGCAAUCACUGUCCUUGAAAAGGGCUAGAUUCUUGAAAUCAUAAAUACUAAGGGAUGGAAGGGACCUCAGAGGGAUUCUGGGACUACAAACAAACCCAGUCUGAUCAGUGAUGCUCUGUUUGGAAACUUGCAUUGAUGAAGAACUAAUUACCAUCUCAGGGGCAGGAAUCGAGACCAACACAGACAUAUAUUUGAAGGUUCAGAGGCUCUCUCUGGGACCUCAAUGGACAUUAAAAGACUUUGGGGGAAUUCAUCAUGCCUCCUUCAACUGUUGAAAAACAUCCCUGAGAGGGACUGCUUCCUGGGUAACAGAAUGUAGAUGUCUGAAUGCAAUGAAGGACCUUCCCUAAAUGUUCUCUGUCCCUGCUGCCUUUGAACUUUAGCAAUGUCUACAUUUGUAAGAGCUGUUGUGAAGAUCGAAUGAAAUGAUGUGUGAAAGUACUUUGGAAACUUGAAAGUUUUAUAUAAAUGUCAGCUAUUAUACUUCAAUGGA